RNAcentral lists this ribosomal RNA (19 nucleotides) under Heliconia abaloi. RNAcentral's name for it is "partial 26S ribosomal RNA". Lineage: Eukaryota; Viridiplantae; Streptophyta; Magnoliopsida; Zingiberales; Heliconiaceae. The record is from RNAcentral.
GUCAGGCGGGGCCACCCGC